RNAcentral lists this ribosomal RNA (710 nucleotides) under Stenotrophomonas chelatiphaga. Its description in RNAcentral is "bacterial SSU rRNA". It matches the Rfam family "Bacterial small subunit ribosomal RNA", at positions 69 to 769 of the family's 1533-position model. Lineage: Bacteria; Pseudomonadati; Pseudomonadota; Gammaproteobacteria; Lysobacterales; Lysobacteraceae. The record is from RNAcentral.
GCACAGUAAGAGCUUGCUCUUAUGGGUGGCGAGUGGCGGACGGGUGAGGAAUACAUCGGAAUCUACUUUUUCGUGGGGGAUAACGUAGGGAAACUUACGCUAAUACCGCAUACGACCUACGGGUGAAAGCAGGGGACCUUCGGGCCUUGCGCGAUUGAAUGAGCCGAUGUCGGAUUAGCUAGUUGGCGGGGUAAAGGCCCACCAAGGCGACGAUCCGUAGCUGGUCUGAGAGGAUGAUCAGCCACACUGGAACUGAGACACGGUCCAGACUCCUACGGGAGGCAGCAGUGGGGAAUAUUGGACAAUGGGCGCAAGCCUGAUCCAGCCAUACCGCGUGGGUGAAGAAGGCCUUCGGGUUGUAAAGCCCUUUUGUUGGGAAAGAAAUCCAGCCGGCUAAUACCUGGUUGGGAUGACGGUACCCAAAGAAUAAGCACCGGCUAACUUCGUGCCAGCAGCCGCGGUAAUACGAAGGGUGCAAGCGUUACUCGGAAUUACUGGGCGUAAAGCGUGCGUAGGUGGUUGUUUAAGUCUGUUGUGAAAGCCCUGGGCUCAACCUGGGAACUGCAGUGGAAACUGGACAACUAGAGUGUGGUAGAGGGUAGCGGAAUUCCCGGUGUAGCAGUGAAAUGCGUAGAGAUCGGGAGGAACAUCCAUGGCGAAGGCAGCUACCUGGACCAACACUGACACUGAGGCACGAAAGCGUGGGGAGC